UCGAAGCAACGCGAAGAACCUUACCUAAGCUUGACAUCCCAAUGACAUCUCCUUAAUCGGAGAGUUCCCUUCGGGGACAUUGGUGACAGGUGGUGCAUGGUUGUCGUCAGCUCGUGUCGGGAGAUGUUGGGUUAAGUCCCGCAACGAGCGCAACCCUUGUCUUUAGUUGCCAUCAUUAAGUUGGGCACUCUAGAGAGACUGCCAGGGAUAACCUGGAGGAAGGUGGGGAUGACGUCAAAUCAUCAUG
This 247-nucleotide ribosomal RNA is filed under the name Clostridioides difficile. Its description in RNAcentral is "partial 16S ribosomal RNA". It matches the Rfam family "Bacterial small subunit ribosomal RNA", at positions 951 to 1197 of the family's 1533-position model. The record is from RNAcentral. Lineage: Bacteria; Bacillati; Bacillota; Clostridia; Peptostreptococcales; Peptostreptococcaceae.